GACGAACGCUGGCGGCGUGCUUAACACAUGCAAGUGGAGCGACGAACCAGGGCUUGCCCCGGGGCAAAGCCGCGAACGGGUGAGUAACACGUGGGUGAUCUGCCCUGCACUUCGGGAUAAGCCUGGGAAACUGGGUCUAAUACCGGAUAUGACCUCCUAUCGCAUGGUGGGUGGUGGAAAGAUUUAUCGGUGCAGGAUGGGCCCGCGGCCUAUCAGCUUGUUGGUGGGGUAAUGGCCUACCAAGGCGACGACGGGUAGCCGACCUGAGAGGGUGACCGGCCACACUGGGACUGAGACACGGCCCAGACUCCUACGGGAGGCAGCAGUGGGGAAUAUUGCACAAUGGGCGAAAGCCUGAUGCAGCGACGCCGCGUGAGGGAUGACGGCCUUCGGGUUGUAAACCUCUUUCAGCAGGGACGAAGCGCAAGUGACGGUACCUGCAGAAGAAGCACCGGCUAACUACGUGCCAGCCGCCGCCGUAACAC
Molecule: ribosomal RNA, 485 nt
Filed under: uncultured bacterium
Lineage: Bacteria
Description: bacterial SSU rRNA
Rfam family: Bacterial small subunit ribosomal RNA
Source: RNAcentral